AGUACAGACGAGUUUGAUCAUGGCUCAGAUUGAACGCUGGCGGCAGGCUUAACACAUGCAAGUCGAGCGGAGACUUCGGUCUUAGCGGCGAACGGGUGAGUAAUGCGUGGGAAUCUACCCUGGAGCGGGGGACAACCCGGGGAAACUCGGGCUAAUACCGCAUACGUCCUACGGGAGAAAGGGGGCCUCUGAAUGUAAGCUCCCACUCCAGGAUGAGCCCACGUCCGAUUAGCUAGUUGGUAGGGUAAAAGCCUACCAAGGCCACGAUCGGUAGCUGGUCUGAGAGGAUGAUCAGCCACACUGGGACUGAGACACGGCCCAGACUCCUACGGGAGGCAGCAGUGGGGAAUAUUGGACAAUGGGCGCAAGCCUGAUCCAGCAAUGCCGCGUGUGUGAAGAAGGCCUGCGGGUUGUAAAGCACUUUCAGUGGGAAGAACGGCCAGGGUUAAUACCCCCGGCUUCUGACGUUACCCACAGAAGAAGCACCGGCUAACUCCGUG
RNAcentral lists this ribosomal RNA (500 nucleotides) under uncultured bacterium. Its description in RNAcentral is "bacterial SSU rRNA". It matches the Rfam family "Bacterial small subunit ribosomal RNA", at positions 1 to 507 of the family's 1533-position model. The record is from RNAcentral.